This is a long non-coding RNA of Mytilus californianus (California mussel), 436 nucleotides long. RefSeq lists it as uncharacterized. NCBI's taxonomy places the organism in Eukaryota, Metazoa, Mollusca, Bivalvia, Mytilida, Mytilidae. The record is from RefSeq and is a predicted model, not a curated record. The transcript is spliced from 4 exons.
ACAGUUCUUCAGAGAAUGAUUCUAGUAUAGAAAGUGACUCAGAGAAUGAUUCUAGUCCAGAAAGUGACUCAGAGAAUGAUUCUAGUCCAGAAAGUGACUCAGAGAAUGAUUCUAGUCCAGAAAGUGACUAUAGUACAGAUUAUGGUGAAGGCAGCAGUUCACACAAGAGAGGGUUAAAAAGAAAAAGUAAAGAUGACCAAAUUGAAGAACAAAUCAGAAGUAAAAAGAAAGGAAGGAGAUAUGUUAAUUGGAAUAAGGAGGAUGAAAAGGUUGUAAGAACAUACUUCAAGGAUUAUGUCGAAGACGUGUCUAAAGAAAAGUCCAAAGGAUCACUACCUGGUAUGUUAUAGUAUAAGGGCAAGUUUUUAAAAGGUUUCAGUAUGAAAAAAGUAUUUUUUGACACUGCAUAAGUUUUUAGCUCACCUAGCCAAAAAGG